This 253-nucleotide ribosomal RNA is filed under the name uncultured bacterium. Its description in RNAcentral is "partial 16S ribosomal RNA". It matches the Rfam family "Bacterial small subunit ribosomal RNA", at positions 524 to 776 of the family's 1533-position model. The record is from RNAcentral.
UACGUAGGGUGCGAGCGUUAAUCGGAAUUACUGGGCGUAAAGCGUGCGCAGGCGGUUCGUUAUGUCUGGUGUGAAAGCCCCGGGCUUAACCUGGGAAUUGCAUUGGAAACUGGCGGGCUGGAGUGUGGCAGAGGGGGGUGGAAUUCCACGUGUAGCAGUGAAAUGCGUAGAGAUGUGGAGGAACACCGAUGGCGAAGGCAGCCCCCUGGGCUAACACUGACGCUCAUGCACGAAAGCGUGGGGAGCAAACAGG